UACGUAGGCAGCAAGCGUUGUUCGGAGUUACUGGGCGUAAAGGGUGCGUAGGCGGUUGUUUAAGUUUGGUGUGAAAUCUCCCGGCUCAACUGGGAGGGUGCGCCGAAUACUGAAUGACUAGAGUGCGGGAGAGGAGAGUGGAAUUCCUGGUGUAGCGGUGAAAUGCGUAGAUAUCAGGAGGAACACCGGUGGUGUAGACGGCUCUCUGGACCGUAACUGACGCUGAGGCACGAAAGCGUGGGUAGCAAACGGG
Molecule: ribosomal RNA, 253 nt
Filed under: uncultured bacterium
Lineage: Bacteria
Description: partial 16S ribosomal RNA
Rfam family: Bacterial small subunit ribosomal RNA
Source: RNAcentral